GGAAGUAAAAGUCGUAACAGUUCCGUAGUGAACCUGCGGAGGAUCAUUAAAAAAUAUCACAUUUUGUGAUUUAAUAAUCAUCCUACCUUUGUGAAUUUGUUUGUUGAAAAUUUAUGUUGUCUAUCCUGGCGGUUUUGGAAAAGUUGAAAAACUUUUUCAAAUCUCAGGACUAGCUUCAUAGACUUUUUUAAAUUCAACUUUUGUAUUCAUUUGUCUAAAUUUAUUUUAAUAAUUUAAAACAACUUUUGACAAUGGAUCUCUGUUCUCGCAACGAUGAAGAACGCAGCAAAUGCGAUAAGUAAUGUGAAUGCGAAUACGUGAAUCAUCAAUCUUCGAACCAUAUUGCACUUUUUAGUUUACAAAAAGUAUGUCUGUUUGAGUAUCAGUAAAAUAUUCUCAUAAAAACAUUUUGUUUUUAUGGUUAUGGUGUUUUACAACGAUAACAGUUGUUUCACUUAAAUUGAUUUUUUAAAAUAAGCCAAUUUGGUUUUAUUUCUAAAUUGGAUAAAAUUUUCCCGUAAAAGAAUAAACUUUCAGUUUUAAAAUAAAUCUUGAUUGACUUUGUAAAAGAAAUUUAUUAAAUAACUUGAUCUCAAAUCAAUAAGAGUACCGCUAACUUAAGCAUAUCAAUAAGCGAGGAAAGAAACUAACAAGGAUUCCCUUAGUAACGGCGAGUGAAGCGGGAAAGCUCAAUUUGAAAUCUUCAAGUUCUACUUGACGAAUUGUAGUUUAUAGAAGUGUUUUCUGUUAGUAGAGUGAAAAGUUUUUGGAAUAGGACAUAAGAGGGUGAGAAUCCGUAUUUGGUCAUUCUUUCUAGCUUUGUGAUACACUUUCACGAGUCGGAUUGUUUGGAAUGCAGUCCAAAAUGGGUGGUAAAUUUCAUCUAAAGCUAAAUAUUGGCGAGAGACCGAUAGCGAACAAUACGUGAGGAAAGAUGAAAGAACUUUGAAAAGAGAGUUAAACAGUACGUGAAAUUGUCAAAAGGAAGCGUUUGACACCAGUGUUGUUUUUCCGAAAUCAAUUACGAAUGUUUUUUUGAGAAGUUAUGACUCAUCGGCUUGCUUCUCUCUUUAUGAAACUUCUUAAUGCACUUUUCGGUUACAAGUCACCAUCAAUUUCUUUGUUGUAAAAGGUAUGAGGAAGGUGCUUUCUUUUCGGAGAAGUGUUUAUAGCCUUGUACCUCUGCAAUCGGAGAGAUUGAGGUCUGCAGCGUAGAUCUUCGGGUUAGAUACAUUUGUGCUAAGUUAUAGCUUUC
Molecule: unclassified non-coding RNA, 1255 nt
Filed under: uncultured Neocallimastigales
Lineage: Eukaryota; Fungi; Neocallimastigomycota; Neocallimastigomycetes; Neocallimastigales
Description: partial contains small subunit ribosomal RNA, internal transcribed spacer 1, 5.8S ribosomal RNA, internal transcribed spacer 2, and large subunit ribosomal RNA
Rfam family: Eukaryotic large subunit ribosomal RNA (bases 588-1255)
Source: RNAcentral